AUUCUAGAGCUAAUACAUGCUAAAAACCCCAACUCCGGAAGGGGUGUAUUUAUUAGAUAAAAAACCAAUGCCCUUCGGGGCUCUUUGGUGAUUCAUGAUAACUUCUCAGAUCGCAUGGCCUUGCGCCGGCGACGGUUCAUUCAAAUUUCUGCCCUAUCAACUUUCGAUGGUAAGGUAUUGGCUUACCAUGGUUUCAACGGGUAACGGGGAAUUAGGGUUCGAUUCCGGAGAGGGAGCCUGAGAAACGGCUACCACAUCCAAGGAAGGCAGCAGGCGCGCAAAUUACCCAAUCCCGACACGGGGAGGUAGUGACAAUAAAUACUGAUACAGGGCUCUUUUGGGUCUUGUAAUUGGAAUGAGUACAAUUUAAACCUCUUAACGAGGAACAAUUGGAGGGCAAGUCUGGUGCCAGCAGCCGCGGUAAUUCCAGCUCCAAUAGCGUAUAUUAAAGUUGUUGCAGUUAAAAAGCUCGUAGUUGAACCUUGGGCCUGGCUGGCAGGUCCGCCUCACCGCGUGUACUUGACCGGCCGGGCCUUCUCUUCUGGAGAACCUCAUGCCCUUUACUGGGCGUGUUGGGGACCAGGACUUUUACUUUGAAAAAAUUAGAGUGUUCAAAGCAGGCCUUUGCUCGAAUAUGUUAGCAUGGAAUAAUAGAAUAGGACGUGCGGUCCUAUUUUGUUGGUUUCUAGGACCGCCGUAAUGAUUAAUAGGGACAGUCGGGGGCAUCAGUAUUCAAUUGUCAGAGGUGAAAUUCUUGGAUUUAUUGAAGACUAACUACUGCGAAAGCAUUUGCCAAGGAUGUUUUCAUUAAUCAGUGAACGAAAGUUAGGGGAUCGAAGACGAUCAGAUACCGUCGUAGUCUUAACCAUAAACUAUGCCGACUAGGGAUCGGGCGAUGUUUCAAUAUUGACUCGCUCGGCACCU
This 924-nucleotide ribosomal RNA is filed under the name Helicascus alatus. Its description in RNAcentral is "SSU rRNA". It matches the Rfam family "Eukaryotic small subunit ribosomal RNA", at positions 155 to 1088 of the family's 1831-position model. Lineage: Eukaryota; Fungi; Ascomycota; Dothideomycetes; Pleosporales; Morosphaeriaceae. The record is from RNAcentral.